Molecule: long non-coding RNA, 810 nt
Organism: Salvia splendens (bonfire salvia)
Lineage: Eukaryota; Viridiplantae; Streptophyta; Magnoliopsida; Lamiales; Lamiaceae
Exons: 3
Source: RefSeq, a predicted model, not a curated record
GUCUUGAAUGUUCCUUACUAGUUGUCAUCAACAUUUAAGAUCAAACUUCCAAUCACUUUGAGUAUGUGUCAGUUGGUGGGCAGUGGUUUGAUUUAUGAUGUGUACACCAAUAUAAGUAGUCUCAUGGACCAUUUUCUCCUCACGGAAUUUGAAAUCCCUUAAUUUUUUUCGACAUUUUUGGCUUUUUAAAUCUUUAAAGUCAACCUUGAGUCCUUGGCUGAGUGGGGCAUGAACAUUUUUUUUUCGGAAAAGUCUUUCCUGUCAACCCUCUUGCCUCAUUGGAAGAGAAGACAGUGGAUGUUGAUGUUUCUUUCAUCAUGUGUGCUUGCAUUUAUAUCUCUGUGUAUUGUUUUCAUGCUUUUUAGGCUGAAUUCCUCUGGUUGUUGGACAUGAACAUGUGCCUCUGGUAAACAAAAUUCGACCGUUCCUCCGGUUACUUUUACUGGAUUUGAUAGCUAAAUGCUUGAAGUGAGCCUACCAGAACUUGUUUUGAAAGCUGAAGAGGCGAAUCUGCUCAUAUCUGUUGCAAUCGUGUGGAUCAAUGCAGAGAUCCUAACAAUGAGCUGCACAUUCAAGAAGUCGAAGCAAGCUAGCUGCUGCACUGAUGGCUCUGCCCUCAAUGGGCCCUCCAGCAUUCACUGCGCAAUGAUCGCUUCAUUUGUAGCUCUGAUUGAGGUGUUGAGCCAUUCCAAUACAGCAGCUCUUCGACCAUCUGCAACGCCACUCUGUUCUCCUCAUCCAUUGCGUCGCUGACCUCGUCGACCUCGGAUGAAGUCGACCAUGAUGACUGGGACGAGGAGGAGCUCUGGC